CACGCAGUAAACGAUGAAUACUAACUGUUUGCGAUAUACAGUAAGCGGUACAGCGAAAGCGUUAAGUAUUCCACCUGGGGAGUACGUUCGCAAGAAUGAAACUCAAAGGAAUUGACGGGGGCCCGCACAAGCGGAGGAACAUGUGGUUUAAUUCGAUGAUACGCGAGGAACCUUACCCGGGCUUGAAAUGCAUCUGACGAACAUGGAAACAUGUUUUCUAGCAAUAGCAGAUGUGUAGGUGC
Molecule: ribosomal RNA, 242 nt
Filed under: uncultured Porphyromonadaceae bacterium
Lineage: Bacteria; Pseudomonadati; Bacteroidota; Bacteroidia; Bacteroidales; Porphyromonadaceae
Description: partial 16S ribosomal RNA
Rfam family: Bacterial small subunit ribosomal RNA
Source: RNAcentral